Molecule: ribosomal RNA, 253 nt
Filed under: uncultured bacterium
Lineage: Bacteria
Description: partial 16S ribosomal RNA
Rfam family: Bacterial small subunit ribosomal RNA
Source: RNAcentral
UACGAAGGGUGCAAGCGUUACUCGGAAUUACUGGGCGUAAAGCGUGCGUAGGUGGUGGUUUAAGUCUGCUGUGAAAGCCCUGGGCUCAACCUGGGAAUUGCAGUGGAUACUGGAUCACUAGAGUGUGGUAGAGGGAUGCGGAAUUUCUGGUGUAGCAGUGAAAUGCGUAGAGAUCAGAAGGAACAUCCGUGGCGAAGGCGGCAUCCUGGGCCAACACUGACACUGAGGCACGAAAGCGUGGGGAGCUAACAGG